RNAcentral lists this ribosomal RNA (216 nucleotides) under Glomeromycotina sp. Its description in RNAcentral is "partial small subunit ribosomal RNA". The stretch from base 40 to 216 matches the Rfam family "Eukaryotic small subunit ribosomal RNA", at positions 686 to 864 of the family's 1831-position model. The record is from RNAcentral. Lineage: Eukaryota; Fungi; Glomeromycota.
GGGUCAGUAGGUUGGUCGUGCCACCGGGACGUACUGGUCUCACUGAUUCCUCCUUCCUGAAGAACCGUAAUGCCAUUAAUUUGGUGUUGCGGGGAAACAGGACUGUUACUUUGAAAAAAUUAGAGUGGUUAAAGCAAGCUAACGCUUGAAUACAUUAGCAUGGAAUAAUGAAAUAGGACGAUCGAUCCUAUUUUGUUGGUUUCUAGGAUUGACGUA